RNAcentral lists this ribosomal RNA (1458 nucleotides) under uncultured organism. RNAcentral describes it as "SSU rRNA". It matches the Rfam family "Bacterial small subunit ribosomal RNA". The record is from RNAcentral.
CGGCAGGCCUAACACAUGCAAGUCGAGCGGUAGCACAGAGAGCUUGCUCUCGGGUGACGGGCGGCGGACGGGUGAGUAAUGUCUGGGAAACUGCCUGAUGGAGGGGGAUAACUACUGGAAACGGUAGCUAAUACCGCAUAAUGUCGCAAGACCAAAGUGGGGGACCUUCGGGCCUCAUGCCAUCAGAUGUGCCCAGAUGGGAUUAGCUAGUAGGUGGGGUAACGGCUCACCUAGGCGACGAUCCCUAGCUGGUCUGAGAGGAUGACCAGCCACACUGGAACUGAGACACGGUCCAGACUCCUACGGGAGGCAGCAGUGGGGAAUAUUGCACAAUGGGCGCAAGCCUGAUGCAGCCAUGCCGCGUGUGUGAAGAAGGCCUUCGGGUUGUAAAGCACUUUCAGCGGGGAGGAAGGCGGUGAGGUUAAUAACCUCACCGAUUGACGUUACCCGCAGAAGAAGCACCGGCUAACUCCGUGCCAGCAGCCGCGGUAAUACGGAGGGUGCAAGCGUUAAUCGGAAUUACUGGGCGUAAAGCGCACGCAGGCGGUCUGUCAAGUCGGAUGUGAAAUCCCCGGGCUCAACCUGGGAACUGCAUUCGAAACUGGCAGGCUAGAGUCUUGUAGAGGGGGGUAGAAUUCCAGGUGUAGCGGUGAAAUGCGUAGAGAUCUGGAGGGAUACCGGUGGCGAAGGCGGCCCCCUGGACAAAGACUGACGCUCAGGUGCGAAAGCGUGGGGAGCAAACAGGAUUAGAUACCCUGGUAGUCCACGCCGUAAACGAUGUCGAUUUGGAGGUUGUGCCCUUGAGGCGUGGCUUCCGGAGCUAACGCGUUAAAUCGACCGCCUGGGGAGUACGGCCGCAAGGUUAAAACUCAAAUGAAUUGACGGGGGCCCGCACAAGCGGUGGAGCAUGUGGUUUAAUUCGAUGCAACGCGAAGAACCUUACCUGGUCUUGACAUCCACAGAACUUUCCAGAGAUGGAUUGGUGCCUUCGGGAACUGUGAGACAGGUGCUGCAUGGCUGUCGUCAGCUCGUGUUGUGAAAUGUUGGGUUAAGUCCCGCAACGAGCGCAACCCUUAUCCUUUGUUGCCAGCGGUCCGGCCGGGAACUCAAAGGAGACUGCCAGUGAUAAACUGGAGGAAGGUGGGGAUGACGUCAAGUCAUCAUGGCCCUUACGACCAGGGCUACACACGUGCUACAAUGGCAUAUACAAAGAGAAGCGAACUCGCGAGAGCAAGCGGACCUCAUAAAGUAUGUCGUAGUCCGGAUUGGAGUCUGCAACUCGACUCCAUGAAGUCGGAAUCGCUAGUAAUCGUAGAUCAGAAUGCUACGGUGAAUACGUUCCCGGGCCUUGUACACACCGCCCGUCACACCAUGGGAGUGGGUUGCAAAAGAAGUAGGUAGCUUAACCUUCGGGAGGGCGCUUACCACUUUGUGAUUCAUGACUGGGGUGAAGUCGUA